AGGAUUCCAUAAAAUUGUUGAAUUGUCACUUGCUGUGACUCAUGCACAUCAUACAACAGUACUCCAUGCUGUUGACCAGAUAUCUGAAAGUCACUGGAUUAAACAUUCUGCAAAGGAACAUGACUGUACUGAUAUUUUAGAUCCUCGUAAAAGACAUUUUUAUCAGACGUUUGUUAUGUACCACACGAUUCAAAUCCAAACAAACACGAUUUUACUGCAUGCCAAGAAAUCUGGGAGA
Molecule: non-coding RNA, 238 nt
Organism: Sturnus vulgaris (Common starling)
Lineage: Eukaryota; Metazoa; Chordata; Aves; Passeriformes; Sturnidae
Source: RefSeq, a predicted model, not a curated record